CCUACGGGUGGCAGCAGUGGGGAAUAUUGCACAAUGGGGGAAACCCUGAUGCAGCGACGCCGCGUGAGCGAUGAAGUAUUUCGGUAUGUAAAGCUCUAUCAGCAGGGAAGAAAAUGACGGUACCUGACUAAGAAGCCCCGGCUAACUACGUGCCAGCAGCCGCGGUAAUACGUAGGGGGCAAGCGUUAUCCGGAUUUACUGGGGGUAAAGGGAGCGUAGGCGGCUGUGCAAGCGAGAGGUGAAAGCCCGGGGCUCAACCCCGGAACUGCAUUUGGAACUGUGGAGCUAGAGUGUCGGAGAGGUAGGCGGAAUUCCUGGUGUAGCGGUGAAAUGCGUAGAGAUUAGGAGGAACACCGGUGGCGAAGGCAGCCUACUAGACGAUGACUGACGUUGAGGCUCGAAAGCGUGGGGAGCAAACAGGAUUAGAUACCCCAGUAGUC
This 440-nucleotide ribosomal RNA is filed under the name uncultured bacterium. RNAcentral's name for it is "partial 16S ribosomal RNA". It matches the Rfam family "Bacterial small subunit ribosomal RNA", at positions 338 to 795 of the family's 1533-position model. The record is from RNAcentral.